Long non-coding RNA from Schistocerca americana (American grasshopper), 821 nucleotides. RefSeq lists it as uncharacterized. The record is from RefSeq and is a predicted model, not a curated record. The transcript is spliced from 3 exons. Lineage: Eukaryota; Metazoa; Arthropoda; Insecta; Orthoptera; Acrididae.
AGGAAAUGUUGAUGAGGAUGAUCGAUGCUAGUGAAUAUUAUCGAUUUCACCGAUAGCAGAUUAAGACAGUGAGGUUUUCAUGCAGUGAUGCGUUGGAGAAAUUUGAGAGAGCAGAGCUAAGAGUUUUUGAAGCUAGUUGGGAAGUCGUAUUACAUAGUUUGGUGCUUUUCUUGAGCCGGGUCCAUUUACUACUUUUUAUGCGGUGAAGAAGCAAAGCAGUGCGUUAUCAUUAGCUAAUGCUGAAGGCAGACUUGCAGUGGAGAAUAGUUGCUGCACAUUGAAGUACCAAAAGGAAAUGUUGAUGAGGAGAGGGUGAUCACCACUGCUGUGCAGGACGUUCAAGAUCUCCAUACUUGGAUUGUGGAAGUCAUUGACACCUUUCCUGCAGACACAUUGCAGAGAAUCUGGAUGGAAAUUGAAAACAGACUCGACAUCCUUCGUGUCAGUGCAGGGGCUCACAUGGGAGUGUUUUGAUUUGUUGUUGUUGUAAUUUUUUUUCCCCAAAACUUAUUUUCACAUACAACUUAUUUUUGUGAAAAACGAGGUUAAUUCAUUUAGUUUUGUAUAUGGAACACAUUUACAGUAGGGAAUUUUGGUGUAGACACCCUGCACAGUGUAACGUAAUCUUGAAUUACUGUAUGCCAUUUUAAGUGCAUAUUUACAUAGAUAACUCCGUAAGGAAUUGGCACUGCGUCUUCCUUCUGCAUUGUAUAAGUUUUGUUGUUUCUGUUUCAAUUAACUGUUUCUGUUGCAUAUGCACAAAUGUUUAUUAUUAUUUGUUAAUGCUCAUGAAAGUAAAUAUGUGUCUCAAGUCAGUUUUA